Molecule: long non-coding RNA, 16962 nt
Filed under: Lynx pardinus (Iberian lynx)
Lineage: Eukaryota; Metazoa; Chordata; Mammalia; Carnivora; Felidae
Source: RNAcentral
GGGACAGCGAGCGUCCUGUCGCUGUGGGCUCAGGAGCGCAGUUGCACCACUUCUGCAGAUUUGGGUGCUCACGGGCAGGCUGUCUGAGCCUGAGCCGCUUGUCCGAUUGGUACCGUCUGGCCCGACUUCAUAGGGUGGACGUGAAUGAAACCCGGAUGGAGUAUAAAAACCACUUCAUCAGUUUUGUUCCUUUUCUUCCCCCUCGCCCGUCCUGUUUCAGAAAUGUUCUUUUGGGUCCAGAGUCUGGGUACACAUGAGUGCAAAUCCUCACCCAUUCACAAAUAAGCCUAGGAAUCUCCACCGAGAGGAUCACUUCUCUGUAGGCCGUUAGCCCAGGUAAUUAUUUUUUAAGCCAACAUCUAAGAUGGUUUUCAAUCCCUGAAUAGGUGUCAGGCACCGGAGUAAAAAUAUGCAAAGCAGAUCCGUGCCCCAGACUCACAAUUGGUGGGGAGGCAGCAAAUGUGUGGUAGAGGUGGGAGGCAAAAAGUGAACAGCUCGACUCAGCGCAGGCAAGUGCCCUGAGAUGUGCAAAGUCCUGAGAGGGUAGGCGCGUCAGAGUGGAAGGGAGAGGAUGGGUCAGAUAAGCCCUCAGAUGUGAUGACGUACAGGGAUUGAUUGCACACGGGAGGCUCUCAGAUUUUCUCAGAAUCACUGCUGAGGUGUUUUUAAAAAACCGAAUCUGAGUGGUAUUUAUUUCAUCUUUUUUUGAAGUUCCUUUGCUGAGUCUGAUGUGCGUUGAGGGUUGAGCGCCAGGCAGAGCUGCGAAGGUUGGGUGUUCAGUGUGAGUUUCUCUGAAAAUAGGAAAGGCCAAACACCCUGCCCCAUUUUAGGAAGAGCGGUGGGGGGGGGGGGACCGCGAGAGAUGCCGAAGCCCCAUAACGGAGGGCCUUCUGCAGUGAGGUCAAAAAAUGUGAAUUUUAUCCCGAAACUGGGGGAGUUCAAAGGUCAGUUUUUGCUUUCCCCUUCCGCAGUAUGCUGGGGGAGGAAUUGGUGGUGGAUGAAAUAAGAGCCAGAAGCAUUAUUUAUUUAGGCUUCUGCAAUCCAGACAAAUGGUGAAAAUAUAUCCUAUUAAGGGGAUGGCGGCGUCGCUGGGAAUAAAGCGUAGAUACAAUUAAGGAGGGAGACUAUGGAAUUGAAGAUGGAUGCUAAGGGAGGACAUCUAGGGUCAUUGUCUUUGAAAACAAGGGACGGUAAUGUCACGAGUAGAGAGCAUAUAGGGUGAAUCACGGGUUUAAGGGAAGGAUUUCCUUCUGUCUUUGUCUUUGAGGUGCCAACUCUGUGCAGUUGGAUACUGAAUGUACCUGCGAGACUGUAGGCUAGGCUGGAAUUGUUGUCGUUUAUUGAGUGCCUGAAUUACAGCUAAGUGUCGCACUGAGAGAGAGUUUUACAUACUUUCUUCCGUUACAGGUAGUAAUGGAAAAAGUGGUUUGAAUUAGGUCACCCAGAAAGAGAAAUGGGAUGGAGAGUCCUGAGGCAAGCCUUUGGAAACUGAUAUUUGAAGGGGAACAAAGGAAGACGUGACCGUGAAGGAGAUUGGGUAGAGGAAGUGAAAGGAGAAUGGUGUGCUGUCUUAGCUAAAGAACGCAUGGUCAGAAUUUUUAUAUGCUUUAGAGGAGGCAGAGAAAAACUCUGUUGGAUUUGGUGAUACAGAGAUGACUAGGGACUCUGGGAAAACAUGCAGUGAAACGUAAGGGUAGAAGCCAGAUUGCCAGGGAGCUAUUAAGCGGACAAAUCCAGAUUACUUUUGCAAGACGUUUAGCUCGGUAAGGUAGAGGAAAGUGAUUGUCGUCUGAGGUGUCUGGCCAGCUAAUACUGAGAAAUGAUGUCCCCGAGGCAGGUCUUUGGAAAGUCGGUCUAUAGCCCUGGAGAAGCAUUCUGUGUUAGUGACGAAUCAGUUCUCCUGCUGAGGCUCCCAGGGUGGCUCUUGACGUCUGCUCUGCAGCUUGAGGGUUCCUCGGGCACCAGCAUCUGUGGCUCAGUCGUAGUUCCAAGCAGUUAAAACCGGAUGAAAUGAACAAAACUCAGGCCUUCCAGAAGGACUGAGUUGGGCAAAAACUUCAAGGAUUUAUGGUCAUGUACCAACAGAUUUUCUCCCAAAAGAAAAACUACUUUAUAUAUAUACCCCAUUUAGACGCUCGGGCCAAUGAUAAUUUUAGAUUUGGGGGUGUGACCACCCAUUUAUGGCCUUUGCAGAGGAAUCUGGAAACACUUUCUGUUGUUGACAUGCUCUAUAGCACUGUUUUCUGUAUUCUAGACUCCGUGGUACCCAUCUGUUAUAUAUAUGGCAAGCAAGAAAAUUUAGUUCUGCUUUCGGGGGUGUGGAAGGAAAUAGGCUAGCUCUGUGAGUGAGUGAAAUACAGAAGUCUCCUUAAUGUUCUUAGUAGAAAGUUUCUUUCUUUUUUUUUUUAACUGGUAAUUAUUUUAAAGUCACAGCAUUUUAUUUGUACUUCAGACCCUAAUUUUUUUUUCAAAGUUUUCGAUUGACUGCAGAAAUCCUGCUUGAGGCAAGUGAGGUUUGAGAAUUCUCCAGAGUUUCACUUUCUGUUCUUAGAUCUGCUUCUCAGUUCACUCCCCACACUGAAAUAGAUCACUGGAAAAAACAGUUUGUGAAGACUUUUAACUUAUAAUAUUAUGAUAUUGGCCUUUUAGAGUUAACACACUCUGCUUUGAAAAACAUAAUUUUGUAUUCUGCAAAGCUAAUGUGUUACUUGGUAUUCCCUAGUUUGCAGCCCCCUUGCACAGGGUGGGUAUUAGUAAAAUCUAAUGGAAUUAGAAUUAGUGUUUAGGAAAGGGCAGGAUUCUCCAGCUGAGCCAGCGUGCUUUUUUUUAUUUUUCAAAUGAGGAUUGUGUAACUCAUUUUUUUGCUCUUCAGGAAACUCCUAAUCUAGGAUGUAGUGAGCUUUUCUUCUAAAUGGGUUUCCAUACCUCCUUUUGAGUGUUGUUUUCUCUGUGUUUUCUAAAUGUCCAUUUCUGUAUGUCGUCCUUAGCUUUAAUGUUGAAAGCCACCCUGAGUUCUUUUUAGAAGGGUGAAGAAAGCGUACAAUUAAUAGUUAAUCUUAAAAAUUCACAAGACAGAUGCACGUAUUCGAUUUUACUUGUGCGUUUAUGUAUAAUUACUUAAUCAUGGAAGUAAGAAGAAAAUAAGGGAUUUUUUUUUUAAAACCAGCUUAUUUUAGGAUCUGGCAUUACGCCAAAAAAGCCUCAGCAGUGAAAUAAAAUUUCCGUCAAGGUGUCAUUGAUUUCCCGUUAGCAGACGUUUUGCGCUCUUCAAUUUUAUGAUGAUGAUGCAUUUGAAAACGUCACGCUGCUGGGUUUCUGUACCCAGGUAUUCAAUGACUUGGGUCAUUUUUCUUAAUCUUUUAUUGUUUCUUCUCCCUCCCUGAGAGGAAACUUUAGACCUUUCUACCGCAUGCAUUUCCCCUUAAUUUUAAACCACCAAUACCUUGUAUAUCCUUUAUGUACUUUAGACAUCUUUGUGCUUUACACGUUAAAAAAAAAAAAAAAAAAAAGCAAGAUUUUUUUUUUUUUUUGUGUCCCACUAACCAGUUUUCAUCUCCUUGAGGAUGAUUUCACCCCUGAUGACAAUGCAUGAGUUAGGUCCAUCCACUUAGGAGACGGGCUUAGUUUUUAGUGUACAGUCUGCAGUGGGGGUUGUAACUUUUUCCCCUUGAAGCUUGUAUCUUACAUCCGUUGGAUAGUUCAUUUCCAUCCGUUUCUGAAGAUCAGGCUCAUUAGAUAUUUUCCUGGCCCAGUUCCCAAUGACUGAUCAUUUUCAUAGGAAAGAAGACUUGCUUCCUUCCUCCUGGGUGUGGUUUUCUUCCUUUUGUUACAGACUGGCUGACAGCUGUUUAGAUCUUUUUGACUUUGGGCCGGUGGGUGUUUCUCCUGGGUUGCGGGUUUUGGGGUAGCUAGCAUACUGUCCAGAGCGGAAGUUCCUUCCUCAGUACCUCACGUGGGGGGCUGUCAACUCCUGUGAUGUUGACCCUGAUCACUUGGUUGAGGGUGUGUUUGCCAGGUGUGUCCGCCGUAGUGUUACGGUAUCUCCCUUUCCACACCCUCUCCAUGGGCCUUGUGUCACCAAGUCCGGCCCACACUCAAGAUGGGGUGGGGUUAAGCUCCGCCUCUGGGAACCCAGAGCGUCUAUAUGUAUCGUUGUGAGUUCUUCUGCGCGUCCGGUUGGUCCCCCAUCUUUUGUUCAUUCAUCCAGUCGUUUCUGUCUGUACGGAUUCAUGUGUGUCUAGACUGAGGGUUAGAAUCCACAGAUUGCAGUGGGUGUUUUGGUUUUUGUUUUUGAUCAAAUUGUCUCAGCUUUGGCCAUCCAGAGCUCUUUCGGGUUGGCCCCUGUGUUCCUGUGACAUGCCCGAGCCCUUUUGUGUUUUGAGUACUUUGAGGUACGUCCAGGCUCACCGCGUGUCCUUGUUGAGCCGUAACACACUGCUUACUGAUUGUGAGCUUUGUAUUUACUUUCACCUCCAUUUAGUGUGCGAUGCAAAUACAGCGUCUUCUCUUUAUUACACCUCGUUGGAGCUGGAGAGCUCUUUGGAUUUGGGCUUCCGUCCUGUUUGCUCAUCCACAGGGUUUCGUGCUGUUUGUAGUGCUGAUGAACCUCUGCCUCGUUAGUACGUCUUCAUUUAAACCUCCGACACCUGUGCUUCCUGGGCUUUUCGCUUGUUUCCUGGGACCUUCCUGUUUGCUCUUUUUGAGAUUGCUAGGAUUUGGACAAUUAUCCUAUCUGGACCCUUUCUGGUGAGUUUGGAUGGUGGAGUCUCUGGUAUUACCACACAGACAGAAGGUGGGAGAGCUCAAAGAUUGUACUUAGUAGCAACAGGUUGUUAACAUUUUAGCUGUUACAGUUGACAGCGCAUUGACGAGCAGUGCAGCGGUUCAUGCACACGUAUGUGCAGAUUCAUGCGUCUGUACUUUCUAACCCAGACAGAGGUCUCUGAGUUUUUGUGACUGGUGUGGAUCAAUGCUUCCGGAUUUUUAGGUCUCCACGGAUUUCUCGAAAACAUGUCUUCGAGGAAUGUGAAAGGUUCCCUUAACUUUUGACUUGGCUCCAGUACAUCACGAGAACACUCCAAAAGCUAUACUUUGAAAGCACUGGUACGUCUUUGUCUCCGUGGUUCAACGUCAGUAACACGUGGUCUUGAGCUUCCUGUGUAGCACAUCCGUGUGUUGCAUGCUGGUGGGUUUGGAUUGCUUUGGUUUGGUUUUUGUGCUAGCAAAGAGCUUUCGUUUCCUCGUAUUUCUUACGUGCCAAAGAUGAAGUUUUUAAGAGGAGGCUCAGAUUUGAGUUGACCCAGUUGAUAAGCCGGCCGGCGGACCAUCCUUGAGGUGGCGGGGGGCACAUUCUGAGUCGAAGGGGAGGGUCACAAGGAAAGGCCCGAAGUGUCAUUUUUCGGGAGUCUUCAGGUGUCGUCUUUUCUGGGUACAGGGGCAGAAUGAGCACAUGUUGUUGGUGUACGCCCGGUGGUAUUUCCACCGCUGACUUCCUCAAGCGCUAUGCGUCCAGGACCCACGCCGGGGAAUUUCAGACAGCCGACGAAGACCUCUGCUACUGCCUGGAGUGUGUGGCCGAGUACCACAAAGCACGCGACGACCUGCCCUUCCUGCAUGAGGUAACGUGCGCCGGGUGGACGGUACGCUUCAGAGCUCGAUAACUAGGGGGACGAGAAACCCGAACUCGGCUAGGUGCGUUCGGGAAACAGGAUUGACUGAUGAGACGGAAUUAAAACCUCAGCCGACUUUCGUGAUCCCUCGCUUUCAGUCAUUGGGAUCUAAAACAAUUGGGUGAGAUGAUGUAUGGGGUUUGUUUUUUGUUUUUUUGUUUCCAGUUUGUUCUUUACGUCGGUAUAUCUGACAGUGUUACAUUGUUUUUUUUUUCUUGUUUUUCACGCCCGUGUAUUUGACAGUGUUACAGUCACGGGUCUGAAUGGCUUGGGUUAUUUUUUUAUUGGUGAUUCUUUUUUUCUCUUUUCAUUUUUUCAUGGGUACGUGGUGCAAACUUCUUUUUUUAAAACAUUUUUUUAAAUGUUUUAUUUAUUUUUGGGAGACAGUGGGAGCGGGGAGGGGCAGAGAGAGAGAGGGAGACACAGAAUCUGAAGCGGGUUCCAGGCUCUGAGCUGUCGGCACAGAGCCGGACGCGGGGCUUGAGCCCUCGAACCGUGAGAUCAUGACCUGAACCGAAGUCGGACGCUUAACCGACACCCAGGCGCUCCUCGUUCCCUUUUAAAUAGCUGAUAAAGCAUAGUGCUAUAUUUAUAGUAAAACUUUAUGAAAGUGGUUUUUGCACACCUCAUGUCAUAUGUGCCUCAUACAUCAUAAAAGUGGCCACGUUUAGUGACUUUUCUUCAAAUGAAUCUAAUGUGGUAGUCUACUUCUUGAAACUUCUGAAGUUUUAUACUUAGGGGAAGGCUUUCUAAAAAGAUCGUGACAUCCAGUAUUUUUGGAUAAUAAGAUAUAAAGCUUACCUCCCAAUUUUUUUUCUCUGUAGGUUUUGUGGGAAUUAGAAACCUUACGUCUCAUAAAUCAUUUUGAAAAAUCCAUGAAGGCAGAAAUUGGAGACGAUGAUGAAUUGUACAUAGUAGACAACAAUGGAGAGGCACAGCUGUUUGACUUCACUGGCCAAGACUUUGAAAAUAAGCUUCGAGUUCCUCUUCUUGAAAUCCUGAAGUAUCCGUAUCUGCUUUUACACGAGCGUGUUAGUGAGUAUCUUGGGUGUUCUACAAGUUUAAUCAGUCUUAUUUUAAGAAUUGCAGGAACUCCCGUUUUAUCUGUAUUGAACAUCCGUUAAACAGAUCAUUAAGAUACUUCAUCUUUUUUCCCAACAUUUUGUUGAUAGAAGUUUCCAUACACGGAGAAAAGCCAGUGAUCAGGUGAACACCGCGGACCCACCACAUGGAUUCUGCAGUUGCUCACGUCUUGCUGCAUUUGCUUUAUCACACAUUUACUCCUCUAUCCAUUCAGUUAGUUUGCAUUCUUGUAAUUUGUCCGUAGCAGAGUUCCUCAGCGUUGACACCAUGGAUGUUUUGGACUGGAUACUGCUUUGUUGUGGGCGCUGUGCUGUCCACUGUGGGAUGUUCAGCAGCCUCCCCGGCCCCUACCACCUAGAUGCCAGUAGCCCUCUGCUCUCCCCGCCGCCCCUCUUAGGACAGCCAGACCGUGUCCACAUAGUGCCACGUGUCCCUGCAGCGUGGAGAGGGCAGGGCAGGGGAGAGGCAGAAUCGUCUCUGGUUGAGAACUACUGGUCUGUAGUAAUUUUUAUUAAUUAUUAUGGCAUGGCAUAUCAUGGCUGCCUGAACUUAGGUCAUUUAUGUUUGUAUUUCUUAAUGUGAAUCUCAUAAAAGUGAAGACGUUACAUGAUCUGUCCAAUCUAACAAAAUAGCAGUACCUUUUUUUUUUUUUUUUUUCUUUUCCAAAUAACAAUACCUUUAAAUCAUUUAGUAUCUAGUCCGUAUUCAAACUUUCCCAGUACUUGCAAAAUGUGGUUUUGGCUGCUUUGUUUAAGAAUCCAUUCAGGGACCACCUAUUGCAUUGGCUCAUAUUUUGUACAUAUUUUUGAAUACAAAGUAGUCUAUUUAUACAUACACAAAGAAACUUUUUCUUUUUUGCUAUAGCCUUGACUUACUGAGACCAUAUAGUUGCCCUGUGAAAUAAUGCACUUCCUGGAUUUUUCAGAUUGCUUCCUGGUGAUGUUAUUUCACAUCUUUAUUCUCUGAAUUUUCAGUAAACUGAAAAGCACAUCUAAGGAUUUGGUUAGAUAAAUCAAUUCUUUCUAAAUAAACUGUAAGUAAAUUGUGUUUAACAUGUUAACAGGUCCGUUUUCAAACAUUUAUUAAUGAAUACUACAUCCAAGAAAAGUACAUAAAUGGUGAGUUUUUACAAACUGGACACACCUAUGUAGCCAGCACCCAGAUCAAGAAACAAAAUGUCAAUACCCAAGAGCUUCCUUUCCUGCUUUUCCAGUUAUCGACACUCUUCUGCAAAAGCCAUCCACUGUCGCUGACAAUAUUCUUUGAACUUUGACAAAGUAAAGUUGAUUCAUUAGGGGUAGGGUAAAGGUAUGAGUCUGUUCAAGACACUUCUUUUUGUGUUUUUUAUUUUUUAGAGAGAGAGAGUGAGCAAGCGAGUGCACAAACAGUGGAGAAGGGGCAGAGGGAGAGGGGGAGGGAGGAGGGAGAGAGAGAGCGAGAGGGAGAGAGAGAGACUCUCACGCAGGUUCAUGGGGCUUGAUCCCAGGACUCUGGGAUCAUGACUUGAGCCGAAAUCAAGAGGCAGACGCUCAGCUGCCUGAGCCACCCAGGCGCCCCUAUUCACGACGCUUCUGAAAGAGCCGUGUAGACAUUUCCAUAAAGCAACAGGAAUUAGAACAGUCAAGCAGGGGUGGACUUGUGGAACAAUAGACUCCCGAAAUAAACCAAGAAUAUUUGGGGAACUUAGUGUUAGAUGAUGGGAGCACGUCAAAGCAGUGGAGAAAGUGAAUUAUUCAGUAAACGAGAGUAGGACACAAUAGCCAUUUGGGGGAAAGGCUCACUUUGUCACGCCAGUACCAAGUAAGGUCCAUGUGGAUCGAAAUGUAAAAUGCUGAUGGAACUGGACUUAAAAUCAUACUUUUGAGAAGAUACCCUAUGGAUAUAAUUAUGCUAAUUAUGCCAAGGGUAAGAAAAAAAAUAUAUAUGUAUACCGGUAAAGUCACAGUAGUUCAUAGGAGCACACUAUGAUCAAUCACACAAGAUUAGUCUUCCAGGCGAGUAAAUACUGUCGUUGAACUUACGUUACCAGCAUUUUUAUGCCUCAUUUGAGAAAAAAAAGGAAAAGAACAACUUUUUAUUUACUUACAGAACAACCGAAGGAGCCAGAUUCAGGGACUCUUGAUAAGCUGAUAAGGUUUAUGUCUCAUCUUUACUGUCUUGUUUUUUCUAUUUAGACGAAUUAUGUGUUGAAGCACUUUGUCGGAUGGAACAAGCUAAUUGCUCCUUUCAGGUUUUUGACAAACAUCCAGGCAUUUAUUUGUUUCUGGUCCAUCCCAAUGAAAUGGUGAGUAUGAGUGGUAGGUGAUGAAAGGAUAUAUUUUAUUUUUGCACGUAGAGAGAGCCGUAAUAGAGGGUUUCGGUGUGUAUUUGGUCUAAAAUAUUGAACCGUUAAAAAUGUAUAAUCACACCCCUCAAAAGGUAAGCGUUUCUCGGGACCAGCAGUGCAGCAGAAACACCACGUGAUAAACGGUGGAAACCUCUAGGUCCGGGUGGCUCUUGGUAGCUGAGCACGCAGUUUCCGCCGGAUGACAGUAGCUCCGGGUGUAGUCCGGGAAAGGCCGAGAACCAGAGUCCGGGCCUGUGCACAAAGUAGACUCUCCCCUGCCUGUGAAAGAAAGCUGACAGUACGGCCAGAGGCUCUCCGGCACUGGCCUUCUAGAGCCACAUAGCAACAGAGGAAGGAGGUCCAGCCGGGCACCAGGACCCGGGCCAGGCACUCAGAUGCUUCACGACUGAGUCUGCAGGGCCCCUCCCUGAUGCGACUGGUGGUUGGCAGCCCGAGCUGCUGAUGCUAGACCGGUGCCAGAUGAGGGACACGAGAGAAAGAAGAGUUGAGAAGGUAGCGUCAGAGCUUAAUACAAAGUUGGUCGGAUGCUGUGGUAAAGCUUGUUAAUAAAAGCGGCUAAGUUCGAAGAAAGUGAAUCUAUCAAUAAUAACUUGGACGGGGUAGUAACAACGUGAUGGGGUUGGCAGGCAAGAUGUGAGAGCGUGUGGGCUAGCUUUUCAUCUUGUUAAGGGCGGAGCUAGGUAAUGAAUUACUUUAGAAGGUAAAAAAAAAAUGCAUUAAAAGAAACAGAGAAACAUGGUUCAUACAGAUAAACAGGUUUAAGAAUAUCAGUGUUUAACAUAAGUGGGCUGAAUUUGUCAGUGAAGACACAGAUUAGAUUGAAUUACAAAAGAAAAUCCGUGGUUUUGUUUCCAAGAGAAACACCUAAAACUUAGGGUGCAAAAAGGUUGAAGGAAAAACAAUAGGCAAAUACUGACCUAAUCAAAGCUGGUGGAGCUAUUGUUUUUUUUUAAUUAAUUAAUUAAUUUAUUCAUAAAAUUGUACGUCCAAGUUAGUUAGCAUCUAGUGCAAUAAGGAUUUCAGGAGUAGAUUCCAGUGAUUCAUCCCUUAUGUAUAACACCCAGUGAUCGUUCCAACAGGUGCCCUCCUUAAUGCCCCUUGCCCAUCUGGUCUAUUCCCCCCACCCACAAUCCCUCCAGCAACCCUCUGUUCUCUGUAUUUAAAAGUCUCUUAUGUUUUGGCCCCCUCCUUGUUUUUAUAUUCUUUUUGUUUCCCUUAUGUUCAUCUGUUUUGUAUCUUCACUCGUAUGAGUGAAGACAUAUGAUAUUUGUCUUUCUCUGACUAAUUUUGCUUAGCAUAAUACCCUCUCUUUCCAUCUGUGUUCUUGCAGAUGGCCACAUUUCAUUCUUUUUGAUUGCCGGGUAAUACUCCAUUGUAUGUAUCUUGUUUAUCCGUUCAUCCGUUGACGGACAUUUGGGCUCUUCCCAUACUUUGGCUAUUGUCGAUAGCGCUGCUAUGAGCAUGGGGGUGCACGUGCCCCUUCGAGACAGCAUCCCUGUAUCCCUUGGAUAAAUAUCUAGUGGUACAGUUGCUGGGUUGUUGUAGGGUAGUUCUAUUUUUAAUUUUUUGAGGACCCUCCAUACUGUUUUCCAGAGUGGCUGCCCCAGUGUGCAUUCCCACCAGCAGGGCAAAAGAGAGCCUCUUUCUCCGCAUCCUCGCCAACAUCCUCUUGUUGCCAGAGUUGUUAAUGUGAGCCAUUCUGACAGGGGUGAGGUGGUAUCUCCUUGUGGCUUUGAUUUGUGUUUCCCUGAUGAUGAGUGAUGUGGAGCAUUUUUUCAUGUGUCGGUUGGCCAUCCGGAUGUCUUCUUUGGAGAGGUGGCUAUUCAUGUCUUUUGCCCGUUUCUUCACUGGAUUAUUUGUUUUUUGGGUGUUAAGUUUGAAAAGUUCUUUAUAGAUUUUGGAUGCUAACCCUUUAUCUGAUAUGUCAUUUGUAAAUAUCUUCUCCCAUUCCGUCGGUUGCCUUUUUAAUUUUGCUGAAAGCUGGUGGAGCUAUUGUGUUGUGUCAAAUAAAAUAGACAUUUGGACGGGGAUAAGGUUGCUGUAUAAUAACAAAAAACGCAAUUUAUCGAGACUGUAGUGUUUUUAAACAAGUAGUAUGUGGCUAAAAUAGUCUCAAAAUAAAUGAUGCAGUUAUUGGUAGAACUGUAAGAAGAUAUGGUGGAUUCAUUACUGUAGAAGAUUUCACUGUACUCUUCCACAUUGAUGAAUCAGUAGACAAAAAAAAAAACAAAAACCCAAUAAGGAAUGGAAUAUGUAUACAAGGCAGUAUACAAACAGAACCUAAUGGGUAUAUAUGUGAGCUGGGCAUCUGACCAUUUUUUCAAAUAUACGUUAAACGAUAAAAGUGAUCACGUUCUAAUUUGUGAUAAAUAUUACAUGUUUCAACACAUUGCAAGGACUUAGCGUUGGCAUCGUCCCUCUCGUGAUCUCUGAUCAUAACACAAUUUAGAUAGAGGUUAAUGAAAAGAUAAAUGAGUUUCCAUAUUUUGAAAGUAGCACAUGCUAAAAAAGAAGUCAUUAAGACUUAAGCAUACCCAGAACUGAAUUAUAAUGAAGAUGCCGCAUUAAAAAAUUGUAGGAUGUGGGGCAAAAGAGUGCUUUCAGGGAAAUUUAUAUCUUUGAGUAAUUGUGGAAAAGAAGAAAGCCUCAAAAUUAACGAGCUGAUUAUUCCUCUUAAGAAGCUAGGGAACAAUGGAAUAAAAAAGAAAGUAGAAUGAAGGAGGUAAUUUCUGGAUGUGAACUCACUCACGCCUUACAGCAGCCCAGUGAGGCAGGUAAUGUAUAGAGGAGGAAACCGAGUCAGACUUGGCCACAGCCAGCCAGGCUAGUGUGGGGUGACCGGGUGUCAUACAGGCAGCCUGGCUCCAGGUCCCUGGGCCUGGUGGUUUUGCUGUUUGCUCUGCUCUCCCUUAAUCUGCACUAUCUCAGCCUUUGUCCUUUAUGACAUUUCUGAAGAGUGCGGUCAUCCCUGCCCGUCCCCCCCCCACCCCCCAAUCAGAAUGCUCCUCAUUUGGGGUUUGUCUGAUGUUUCCUUGUUGUUAGGUUCAGGUUACGCAUUCCAGCUGGAGGACUGCGUAGAAGUGAUGUUCUGUCCUCCUCAGAGUGUCACCCUCAGAGGCGCUCCUGUGUCACUUGCUCUUUGUGGUUAUGUUCAUUUUGAUUAGCCAGUCAAGGUGGUGUCCCAUUUCCUCACCGUAUAAUUUCUGUUUCUUAGCUAUGGGGAGACCACAGAAGGGCCCUGCUCCUCAGCAGAAUUUUCUCCCAAAUUGAGCGUUAACUGAUGGCUUUUGCCUGAAUCACUUUUUUUUUUUUUUGAGAUUUGCAAAAUCAUUUCCCAACCCCAGCACUCUCCACGUUUGCCGGUUAGUCCUGGACAUUGGUUCCACUAUCAUAAUCAAGAACUCUUUUCCUUUCUCCCACUUACUUGCCUGUUUAUUAUCAGUAUGGACUCAUGCAUUCCUUUGUAUGUUUUCCAAAAGCUUAAAAUUCAUUACUUAUGUUGGCAUGGAGCCAGCUCAUUCCUGUGUCCUCUAGCUCCGUUUUUCAAACUUCUGGCCAUCCACAGUAAAAAAAAAAAAAAAAAUGGUUUUCAUCGGUUACACACACACAUAUGCACGUGUCAGCUGAACAUUUCCCCAAAUCCUACUCCUGCGGGAUGCACGCUGGUCUUUUUCUGUUUUAUUUUAUUUAGCUUUUUAAGGUUGGUUGUGAGUACUAGGUUUGACUCAUAGCCCACAUGAAUUUUUAAAAUCACUUCCCUGUGCUGUAUUGCCAUUUAGAGGUGACUUUUGAUUUCUUCUGAGGCUCCGCUUUUUUUUUCCCCCCUCAACUUUCUAUUAUGGAGAAUUAUAAACAUACAAAAGUAGAACGGUGUAAUGAACCCCCUGCUGCCCAUCACUGAGCUUUCUCAGGUACCAAUAUGUGAUCGAUAUUGUGUUGCCUUUUGGAUUACUUAGAGCAAAUCUCACACAUCAGAGCAUCUUAUCCAUAAGAUACUUAAAUAUGUCUCUAAAAGAUAAGGGUUUUUUUUAAAAAAAUGAAACAAUAUCACCACUGCACCUAAAGUACUAAUUCCUUAAUGUCAUAUUUCUAAUCAGUGUUUAAAUGGAUGGAAGUAAUUAUCUAUCUCAUAAACGCUUUUUUAGGGUUUGUUCGAAUCAGGAUCAAAUAGGGUCUAAGUAUUGCAUCAUUAGUAUCUCGUGUCUUUUAAUUUUUUUUUUUUAAUCUUUAUUUUUGAGCGAGAGAGAGAGAGAGCAGGGGACGGGCAGAGAGAGAAGGAGAUACAGAAUCCGAGGCAGGCUCCAGGCUCCGAGCUGUCAGCACAGAGCCUGAUGCGGGGCCCGAACUCACCAACCGCGAGAUCAUGAGCUGAGCCCGGGUUGGACGCUUAACCGACUGAGCCGCCCAGGCGCCCCAAUAUCUAGUGUCUUUUAAAAUAGAGAAUCCUGUUUUCUUAAUUAGGUUCUUGCCGUGCAUGGAGAGUUACUUAUUGCAUGAAGUAACGAACGUGUUGUGCCUUUAGGUUCGGCGUUGGGCUAUCCUGACCGCAAGGAACUUGGGAAAAGUGGACAGAGAUGAUUAUUAUGAUCUGCAGGAGGUUUUGACUUGUCUUUUUAAAGUCAUUGAGUUGGGGCUUCUGGAAGAUCCAGACAUCUACACUUCUUCUGUCCUCGAGAAGGGUAAACUGAUUCUUCUGCCUUCGCACAUGUACGAUACCACCAACUACAAGAACUAUUGGCUAGGUGAGUGUCGUUCCUACACGAGUAUGACUGGUAGUUUUCUAUCAUUUUCAAUGAGUAUCUUGCAAAGGAAGUGGUUUCUUGGUGAUCUAAUGAAGGAUCUCAUGGUUCCCAAUUCUCGUGCUGUCAUUAAAUUGACUUAGCCAUUACAUCUCUUGUUUUGAGACUUUAUUCUAGAAACCAUCUUUGUAAGAGGUGCGUGUUCGAGGGUGGCAAAUCUUGUAUCUAAAGCAGUACUAGAUGAAACAAAACCUUGGCGUAGCGAUGGACUCUGGUAGGGUUUGAUGUAAGAGAUUUCCCCAUCUGUAAAAUAUUUCUUGGUGAAAGAGAUGCUAGCUUUGGUUUUCAGCAACCUCUACGCUGACUCAAAGUAGGUCUCCCCUGCUUCACUGAUUCUGAGUCCUACAGCCACGUGUCCUGUUUGGCAGUGAUGAGUUCUCAGAACACGGUGAUCUUAAAAUUGGAGGCAUCUUAGAGUUGAGGAGAAACGAAUUGUGUGGCAACCCUCUUUGAGACUGAUUUCUAACCAAGUUUGUACCAUUUCCCUUUUUCUGUCCAAGUCGGGCUAAAGUCCUGUUACUGGGAGCGGUGGUGUCUGAGUGUCUCAGACCUGAGUGUUGGAGGAAGCGGGUGCUGGUUUGCUUCAUUUUACUGCCUUGUUGCUCUUUUGCCAGCUAAGCCGGGGAAAGCCUCCGAACGGUGUCAUUUACUCAAGUCAGGAAAACUGUAAAUGAUCUUACAGGUAUUUGCAUGUUGCUGACCAUUCUUGAGGAGCAGGCUAUGGACUCCCUGUUGCUGGGCUCAGACAAACAGAAUGAUUUCAUGCAGUCGAUACUUCACACCAUGGAGAGGCAAGCGGAUGGUAAUAAUCUUUAUUUGGCAAAUGCUUUGGGAUGCUGCGAUGGGCCCUCUUAAAACACUAGUGUCAUUGCAAGAAUUUGGGUGUGUGGCAUGGAAAGAGGAAUGGACGUGUUUAUGGUUCAGUCACAGAUUCAGAGUUUUAAAUUGGGAAUGACCUCGAGAGUUCAGUUUCAACACUUGACCUUCAUAAAAGAUGAGACUGAAGGCCAGGGAAGUUAACUUACUUCACAUUGAAAUGCCCAGUUAGUGGUAGAAUCAAGACUAGCAAAUACCUUUCCAACGACGUGGUAGUUAAAGUUGUGGGGAAAGCCUCUCCUGUCCCUCUGUCUUCCUUUUUCCUGGUUCUUCUUCAUUUCACUUCUGUUCUCUAGGGUUCCACUGUCCAACAUGGUGACUGCUAGCCAAAUGUGGCUGUGUACAUUUAAAUUAAUUAAAAUUAACCGAAGAAUGCGGUCUUCCAGUCCCACGAGCUGUACUUUGAGUGCCCAGUAACCACAUGUACCGGGUGGUUGAUACUGAACAGUGUGGAUAAAGAUCAUUUCCCUCAUCACAGAAAGUAUUCUUGGGACAGUGCUGUUCAGAUAGUUUACAAGCUAGGGUGUAAAACCCGUAGUAAUGUUUAUUAUUAGACCCUAACUUUCUUUUGCUUGUGGUUGUGUCAGGCUGAUCAGGGAGGAUCUGUAAUGAAUGUUUCUAAUCUUGAUGAAGGAAUGAAUAGAGAUCCAGCAUGCCAGAUAUUACAAAAACAUAAUGAUAAUUUUUCUCCCACAUUCACUUCUCUUUAGGCGACUCCAAUGUGGAUAUAAACUCAGUUGUGCAAGAUUGCAGAAGAACCAUAUAAAUGUUAUUCUUUUUUUGUUCGCAUAGCUUCUCUUGCUGGGUUAUUCUCAGAGUUAUUACUAACUUGUUUUCCAGCACUUACUAUAUCAAUAGGUCAUUUCUUUGUGCCUUGCCCAUACAAUUCUGUCUUCUCUGUUAAUCCAGUUCCCCUGACUUUCAAAACGUGAGUCACGUGACCUCUCUAAGAAACCUUUCAUAACGGUCUUCACCUAAUUGAUAACUUUGUUCCUUACUUGAGAGCUUACUGGGCAUAAGACACCGUGUCAGCUGCAGGAAGGCAUGAAAAAGUGUAUGAGAAGGUCUACACAAAUGCCUAUGAUAAAAAAAAGUAGAGCUUAAGAGCCUUGAGGAAAAUAAAGCAGAAAGUUCUAGAGUGACCAGAUAACAUCAUCAGUAACUGAGUGAGCACUGUGUCAGAACAGGGCGGUAGAUCAAAUGACCAGGGAACGUUUGAUGGAGAGGGCACGUUUGAGCUGGGCUGGAAGGACGGAUAGGAUUUUGCUAGGGGGUGCCAAUAGUGAGGGCAUUCCGGGUCUUGAGGAGAAGCCAGCUGUCUGUUUGUGCUGUAGACGGGAUACGAUUACGGGGGCGUGAAAAAUAAAGCUGGAAAGAGACAGUAGAGUAGGAUCUUCCAAGUGCAUGACUGAGGACUUUGAAUCUCCUUGGGAGACAUUAAGGAGCAGUUGAAGGCCUUUGAGUAGGCAGUAUUUUGCCACUGCACAUCUGAUAGGAGGGAAAGAACUGGAGGUGAGAGCUUCUGAGUGAUGGGAAUUCCUGCCAGUUGGAUGAAAAGUAGAGAACAAAGCCACGUUGAGAUACGGUUGGAUGAAGGGUGUGUAUCCGCUUAGCCAUUAGCUAAGGGAUUCGGUCCUUUAUCGCAGCCAAAUGGCGUACAAAAUGCAGUUCGAGCUAACCCAGAAUUUCCCGUAUCACGGGCUUUGUUCAGUAGGAAGGAUGUUUCAGGUGUGGCAGACAGGGUGAGAAAGGUGAGUUUGCUUAGAGUCUCUCAGUUUGUUCCCCGUUAAAAAAUUUCUUGGAGGCAUAUAGCAUUGCUUGGGAAAAAAUGCAGAAGGAACUUUAACAUUUACCAGGUUUUUAAAGCCGGUGUGGUUGGCGCCACUUUGCGUUACAUGACUUGGUGCUUUGCUUUCAGUUUCGUGGCUCCCCAGAUAAAGCAAGCCUAACCCUCAGCCUGCUUUCAUGUCUUUGUCUAAUCGUUGCGUGAUUCAGCAGUUACUUCGUUGUAUUUCAGAUGAUAGCGUGGAUCCUUUCUGGCCAGCAUUACACUGUUUCAUGGUGAUUCUGGAUCGCCUCGGAUCAAAGGUCUGGGGUCAACGCAUCGAUCCUAUUGAGGCGUUUCAGACCAUUAUCAAUAACAUGAGCUACAAUAGAGAGAUCCAAAAUAUACGGAACAGCUCUGUAA